Molecule: RNase P RNA, 323 nt
Filed under: Bacilli bacterium
Lineage: Bacteria; Bacillati; Bacillota; Bacilli
Description: RNase P RNA component class B
Rfam family: Bacterial RNase P class B
About the family: Ribonuclease P (RNase P) is a ubiquitous endoribonuclease, found in archaea, bacteria and eukarya as well as chloroplasts and mitochondria.
Source: RNAcentral
CGACCUAGACAAUUGCUGCCGCAAGGUAGAGGAAAGUCCAUGCUCGCACAGGCUGCGAUGCCUGUAGUGAUUGCGCCAGUCCAAUAAAUAAGGCUGGGUACGUAGGAGUACGUAACGGCGGAGUAAGACCUAAAGGAAACCAUGGUGGAGCUCCUGAAAGUGCCACAGUGACGAAGCUUUAUGGAAACAUAAAGGUGGAACGCGGUAAACCCCACAAGCGAGAAAUCCAAAUUUGGUAGGAGAGAUUGGGAAGGGAAACGAACUAGUCCCAAUAAGCUUUGCUUAGAUAAAUAAUUGUCCUCGACAAAACAUGGCUUACAGGG